This 262-nucleotide unclassified non-coding RNA is filed under the name rhizosphere metagenome. RNAcentral describes it as "partial ribosomal RNA internal transcribed spacer region". The record is from RNAcentral.
GUAGGUGAACCUGCGGAAGGAUCAUUAAAAAUUCUGAGUGUUCACGCAUUCUAAUUUCCACCCUGUGUAUCUGUUACCGUAUGCUUUCGCUGGGCUGUGGAGGAAUGAGUCCUUGCGGCUCGCCUCCCCUUCUGACCGGGCAACAGCCCCCUCGGGAGAGUCCUGGCGGGAGCCAACCAAACAAACCCUUUUUAGUUACAUAUAGUCUGAAAAUGAUCUAAAAAAUCAAUUAAAACUUUCAACAAUGGAUCUCUUGGUUCUC